RNAcentral lists this small RNA (215 nucleotides) under Oryza sativa Japonica Group (Japanese rice). RNAcentral's name for it is "sRNA Os11g0300501". The record is from RNAcentral. Lineage: Eukaryota; Viridiplantae; Streptophyta; Magnoliopsida; Poales; Poaceae.
UGUUAACUGUUAACUCAAAGCUUGAUCAAUAAUCCGUCAACUCAAAGCUGUGACUGCAUUUUAUUGGUUCAAUAAUCAAGAUCCUAAGUAACUAUGUUUUGUCAGAGUGAUCGCCAAUUAAUAUUCAAGGUCUUGCAUUAAAUUAUAAUGGAUGAUCAUAUGUAUCUGUUAUGCUUUCAUAAUUAAGAGUAUCUCUGAAACUCCAUGUUCCUCUC